GACGAGCGCUGGCGGCGUGCUUAACACAUGCAAGUCGAACGGAAAGGCCCUGCUUUUGUGGGGUGCUCGAGUGGCGAACGGGUGAGUAACACGUGAGUAACCUGCCCUUGACUUUGGGAUAACUUCAGGAAACUGGGGCUAAUACCGGAUAGGAGCUCCUGCUGCAUGGUGGGGGUUGGAAAGUUUCGGCGGUUGGGGAUGGACUCGCGGAUUAUCAGCUUGUUGGUGGGGUAGUGGCUUACCAAGGCUUUGACGGGUAGCCGGCCUGAGAGGGUGACCGGCCACAUUGGGACUGAGAUACGGCCCAGACUCCUACGGGAGGCAGCAGUGGGGAAUAUUGCACAAUGGGUGGAAGCCUGAUGCAGAAACGCCGCGUGCGGGAUGACGGCCUUCGGGUUGUAAACCGCUUUCGCCUGUGACGAAGCGUGAGUGACGGUAAUGGGUAAAGAAGCACCGGCUAACUACGUG
Molecule: ribosomal RNA, 468 nt
Filed under: uncultured bacterium
Lineage: Bacteria
Description: partial 16S ribosomal RNA
Rfam family: Bacterial small subunit ribosomal RNA
Source: RNAcentral